Molecule: long non-coding RNA, 526 nt
Organism: Rhineura floridana
Lineage: Eukaryota; Metazoa; Chordata; Lepidosauria; Squamata; Rhineuridae
Exons: 4
Source: RefSeq, a predicted model, not a curated record
UAGGAGUCAUGCUCUGACUGAGCUGAUCUCCUUUUAGUCAGAUUCGGAACUCAUGCUCAGGACAAUGACUCACACAGAAGCACAGGAGAUGUGAAACAUAUUUUAUUGACUGGAACCAAUAAUUACACAUGCUUCCAGACAAGUAUGGUUAAGCCCACGGGAAUCAAGAGACUCAAGGCUACUGUGUUGAUGGAAGCCACUGUCUUUACCUGGAAAUAUCAGUCUGAAGAUUGCAAAGAGACUUCUCUGCCAGACUAGCCCUGGCUACCACUGGCAUGUGGCCCUCAGGAAGUUGCCCAGAAAGAAAUGUCGCCCGUAGCCCUCAGACUGAAAGAGGUUUCCCAUCCCUGCUUUUGAGUGUCAACUUUAUCCUUGCUGGGAGAGUGCUGAGAGAAAACAAGGUUAGCUGAGGAACAGUUGUCUUAGUUCAAGGGACUCAGUGCUACCUGCUUUUGGAGAACCAGAACAGUUCGUUCAAGAACAAAGGUAGAGAGAGACCACACUACCAAUUCAAGUUUCAGCCAAA